CGAAGCAACGCGAAGAACCUUACCAAAUCUUGACAUCCUUUGACCGCUCUAGAGAUAGAGUCUUCCCCUUCGGGGGACAAAGUGACAGGUGGUGCAUGGUUGUCGUCAGCUCGUGUCGUGAGAUGUUGGGUUAAGUCCCGCAACGAGCGCAACCCUUAAGCUUAGUUGCCAUCAUUCAGUUGGGCACUCUAAGUUGACUGCCGGUGACAAACCGGAGGAAGGUGGGGAUGACGUCAAAUCAUCAUGCCCCUUAUGAUUUGGGCUACACACGUGCUACAAUGGACAAUACAAAGGGCAGCGAAACCGCGAGGUCAAGCAAAUCCCAUAAAGUUGUUCUCAGUUCGGAUUGUAGUCUGCAACUCGACUACAUGAAGCUGGAAUCGCUAGUAAUCGUAGAUCAGCAUGCUACGGUGAAUACGUUCCCGGGUCUUGUACACACCGCCCGUCACACCACGAGAGUUUGUAACACCCGAAGUCGGUAGAGUAACCUUUUGGAGCUAGCCGCCGAAGGUGGGACAAAUGAUUGGGGUGAAGUCGUAACAAGGUAGCCGUAUCGGAAGGUGCGGCUGGAUCACCUCCUUUCUAAGGA
This 589-nucleotide ribosomal RNA is filed under the name Staphylococcus auricularis. RNAcentral describes it as "bacterial SSU rRNA". It matches the Rfam family "Bacterial small subunit ribosomal RNA", at positions 952 to 1533 of the family's 1533-position model. Lineage: Bacteria; Bacillati; Bacillota; Bacilli; Caryophanales; Staphylococcaceae. The record is from RNAcentral.